This 2462-nucleotide long non-coding RNA is filed under the name Mytilus galloprovincialis (Mediterranean mussel). The record is from RNAcentral. Lineage: Eukaryota; Metazoa; Mollusca; Bivalvia; Mytilida; Mytilidae.
UAUUCUCAUUGUUUGUAAGUGUCUAAUUUUUAUACUAUUAACCCUUCACAAACAAGUCUGACUGAGAAAUGAUUCUAAUUCUAUAUUACUUUUUACCAGAUUUUAUCUAUUAGUAUUUCAGAUUUGUUGAUUACAAAUUUUUUAUAUGCAUAGUAAUUGCUUUUGUUAAAAGCUAUUUUAGCGUUUCAUAUAUCAUUAACAAAUCUGAUAGUUACCUUAUGUUGGAAAAUUUUGAAAUGCAUGUACAUUAUAUCUGUACAGCAAAACUGCAAACUUGAACAUUAUAAAGAAUUAGAUUACAAAUAUUGUGAGUUAUCUCCCAUUAUGGGUGAACAAAUUUCAAGAUUUUUUUUAAAGUCACACCAGCUGAAUUUAAAGAUCUUUUAGAAAAUUCUUAAUUGUAAUUUGAAAUUACAAAAAUCUAUUAUUGCACACCUUAUAAAGAAGAAAUUAAAAAAAAAAGUGUGUUUAUGAAGCUGAUGCAAUUUAAAAAAAAAUAAGAGAUUUCUGAAGUAGACGAACAAUUUGCCCUCCCAAAGAAAUCAGUGCAUUUAUGAGAUUAUAAUUGUUGUUUGGAAUAGUUUAUUGAUCAUCUGCUGUUAUUCUUUUUUUUCAAAAAUAUUUGAAAGACAAAGUUUUCAAAUGUUAAAAUACAUGUACAGGGAUCAAAUUACAUGUGCAAUCUGUUCACAUAUUCAAUUUGCGUAUGCUUCAUAAUUGAUAUUAUUGUAUUUAAUAUUCAUUGAAAGAUCUGAUGUAUCGCCAUAAAGAUUAUAUGUUUACACCACACACAAUUGAUGUAAUACACUGUUUACACAUAAAAAGAAAGUAUGGUAUUUUCACUCAUUUUGUGUAUUGUGCUGUUAAUACAUCAUAGUAUGUUAGCUUUUCACUCAUUUUGUGUAUUGUGCUGUUAAUACAUCACAGUAUGUUAGCUUUUCACUCAUUUUGUGUAUUGUGCUGUUUAUACAUCUUAGUAUUUAGCUUUUCACUCUUUCUGUGUAUUGUGUAUAUAUGUUGUGUAUUAAUGGCUUUUCCAUAACAGAGAAUAAUUUAUAGCACCAGGUUGACCAAAAGUAUAAUUUAUUUUACAAGACAUUUAAAAUGUAACACUUAUUAAAAAAUUGUUUCAAAAGAAGAAAAAAAACACUUCAGCAAUACAUGUAGUUCACUAUAUGCUAUGUUCAUCAUUUUUUUGUUUGUUAUUUAGUUGGUUAUUUGUAAGCAAUAGGCAUUAUUCAAUAAGAAUUACCUAAUGAUUUAUUAUGGACAGUGGAAAUGGGAUGUACAAACAGCCUACAAGCCCUGAUUCUUACAAAGUGAUAUACAGAAUAAUUGUUUAUACAGAAGGUUGUAACACAUUUAUAAGUUUUGCCUGAGAAGCAAAAGUUGUUUAAUUUACAUUCAAAUGAUAGAUUUAAUUGAUUAAAAAAAAUAUAUAAUAUUUGAAGAGAAAGCCAUUUUCUUAUCACUGUCUCUGGUAAAUAACCUAUAGAAAAAAUUCUACAUAGAAGCGUAUAAGUUAUGAAUAGUGAAAAUUCAGAAAUUAUUUUGUGCUUUUAUUAUUGUAAUUUUUAAAGAAUUGUGAGAUGAAUGCGACUUAAAUUAUUGCGAUUUUGAAAAAAUCUGAAAACAGGUAUUUGUUUUAUUGACCAUAAAGGGAGUUCUUAUUAUCGAGACCAACCAGCUGCAUUAUUCCCUUUUAAUAAUAAAAACCUCACAAUAAUCUACAAAAUUGAAAUGAAUUUACAAUAAAUGAACAAUAGUUGUCUUUUCUUGGUGUGUGGUGUUCAAGGUUGUAGUUUUAAAAAACUUUAACAUUUUGUAAGUGAAUGUAGUUCAUGGCUGUGCCAUACUAAAUAAUUUAGUGAUAUAGUAGAUUUUCGUGGUAUUUUGAAUUCUACAUUUUUACAUUAUAAUUUUAACCAUUGUGUUGUAAUUGUAUUAAGGGGAAUGACACUCAUUUGGGGAAGAAGGGGAGUGAAAAAAAACAGGGGAUGUGUGAUAAAGGGGAUUAAAACGUGAGAAUGUUGGAUACUGAGGGUUGGGGAACAAUUUGAAGCUGGGAAAAAAGGGGGAAAAGUGGGAAGUAUAAAAAAACAGACAAAAAAUUGGGAUUUUGGAAAUGAGCACCUUUUGUGUCAUCCCCCUCUUGUAUUACAUUUUUGUGAUAAUAUGGAUAUUGUCUCAAUGCUUAAUUAUUAUUUUAUAACUAACAUUUCACCAAUGAUUAGAAAACAUGUAAGGGGUCAUCCGUAAUUGUCAACCAUUUUCCAAAGUGUACAAAACGUACACUUUUUCAGAAUCAAAAAGUGUACAUCAACCAUAUUUAGAUUUCAAGACAAGAAGCAAUCAUUUUUAUUAAAAAAAAUAUCCUGUCUAUCAUAGUUUAGUUUAAUAUAGAAAUUUGCAUUGAAAAAAACUGAAACAUUUCUGACUGUUUUAUACAGUGAUAAAAAAAA